GGGGGGGGGGGGCCGGCCCUAUACAUGCAAGUCGAACGAUGAUGCCUAGCUUGCUAGGUGGAUUAGUGGCGAACGGGUGAGUAACACGUGAGUAACCUGCCCCUGACUCUGGGAUAAGCCUGAGAAAUUGGGUCUAAUACUGGAUAUGAACAUUUACCGCAUGGUGGGUGUUGGAAAGAUUUUUUGGUUGGGGAUGGACUCGCGGCCUAUCAGCUUGUUGGUGAGGUAGUGGCUCACCAAGGCGACGACGGGUAGCCGGCCUGAGAGGGUGACCGGCCACACUGGGACUGAGACACGGCCCAGACUCCUACGGGAGGCAGCAGUGGGGAAUAUUGCACAAUGGGCGAAAGCCUGAUGCAGCGACGCCGCGUGAGGGAUGACGGCCUUCGGGUUGUAAACCUCUUUCAGUAAGGAAGAAGCGAAAGUGACGGUACUUGCAGAAGAAGCGCCGGCUAACUACGUGCCAGCAGCCGCGGUAAUACGUAGGGCGCGAGCGUUAUCCGGAAUUAUUGGGCGUAAAGAGCUCGUAGGCGGUUUGUCGCGUCUGCCGUGAAAGUCCGGGGCUUAACUCCGGAUCUGCGGUGGGUACGGGCAGGCUAGAGUGCAGUAGGGGAGACUGGAAUUCCUGGUGUAGCGGUGAAAUGCGCAGAUAUCAGGAGGAACACCGAUGGCGAAGGCAGGUCUCUGGGCUGUAACUGACGCUGAGGAGCGAAAGCAUGGGUAGCGAACAGGAUUAGAUACCCUGGUAGUCCAUGCCGUAAACGUUGGGCACUAGGUGUGGGGGACAUUCCACGUUUUCC
Molecule: ribosomal RNA, 800 nt
Filed under: Micrococcus sp. JSM 2145005
Lineage: Bacteria; Bacillati; Actinomycetota; Actinomycetes; Micrococcales; Micrococcaceae
Description: bacterial SSU rRNA
Rfam family: Bacterial small subunit ribosomal RNA
Source: RNAcentral